ACUAGCAUUAAUGCCAAAACCACGGUAUUACCCCGGUCAGGGCUACAAUAGUGACAGAUAAUCUGACACCUUCACAUGUGAAAAUGUAUGAUGAAGGCUUGACUGGUUAGAAGAGUGACAUUGUCUCAUUGGGGUCAGAGGAUCUUAAAAGGAGAUGGACAAGUUGUAUAGAGAAAUAACUCCCCAGUCCAAAAGGAUCAAUGCAGAUAUAGUAAAGAGCUGAACCACAGUUAGGUGUGGCUGGGUCAUGUACAGCCGAUUGUAAGAGCUGAGCCACAGUUAGGUGUGGCUGGGCCAUGUACUGUACAGCCGAUUGUAAAAGCUGAGCCACAGUUAGGUGUGGCUGGGCCAUGUACAGCCGAUUGUAAAAGCUGAGCCACAGUUAGGUGUGGCUGGGCCAUGUACAGCCGAUUGUAAGAGCUGAGCCACAGUUAGGUGUGGCUGGGUCAUGUACAGCCGAUUGUAAGAGCUGAGCCACAGUUAGGUGUGGCUGGGCCAUGUACUGUACAGCCGAUUGUAAAAGCUGAGCCACAGUUAGGUGUGGCUGGGCCAUGUACAGCCGAUUGUAAAAGCUGAGCCACAGUUAGGUGUGGCUGGGCCAUGUACAGCCGAUUGUAAGAGCUGAGCCACAGUUAGGUGUGGCUGGGCCAUGUACAGCCGAUUGUAAGAGCUGAGCCACAGUUAGGUGUGGCUGGGCCAUGUACAGCCAAUUGUAAGAGCUGAGCCACAGUUAGGUGUGGCUGGGCCAUGAACUGUACAGCCGAUUGUAAGAGCUGAACCACAGUUAGGUGUGGCUGGGCCAUGAACUGUACAGCCGAUUGUAAGAGCUGAGCCACAGUUAGGUGUGGCUGGGCCAUGUACAGCCGGUUGUAAGAGCUGAGCCACAGUUAGGUGUGGCUGGGCCAUGUACUGUACAGCCGAUUGUAAGAGCUGGGCCACAGUUAGGUGUGGCUGGGCCAUGUACAGCCGAUUGUAAGAGCUGAACCACAGUUAGGUGUGGCUGGGCCAUGUACAGCCGAUUGUAAGAGCUGAGGCACAGUUAGGUGUGGCUGGGUCAUGUACAGCCAAUUGUAAGAGCUGAACCACAGUUAGGUGUGGCUGGGCCAUGUACAGCCGAUUGUAAGAGCUGAUCCACAGUUAGGUGUGGCUGGGCCAUGUACAGCCGAUUGUAAGAGCUGAGGCACAGGUUGGUAGCUGUUUGUGACAGGAGAUGGAGCAGUGGCCCCAGUUUAAUUUUCCUCCCAUUUGAUUAAAGUCUUGGAAAUAAUCAUCACUGCUCUGGCUUAUUUUCACCCCAAAAUUGGACGGAGUCUUGCUUUGAUCAUGCUGCUUUUAUCUGCGUUGAUUUCAGUGUGCCAUUAAGAGAUCCCUUCAUGCUAUGCUGAGCUCUUAAGGAUGCUUAGCUUUUGGGGGGCUAUUUAUUUUUAAAGGCCAGAUUCUCAGGCAAAAGAAAAUCAUAAAAAAACAAAACUAGCUGCACUGAAGAAAGUCAGGUUCAAGCUUUGGUCUUUGAUCUUUGGAACAUUAAAGAGUUUGGUGGAGGAUCAGCUCCGAAACAGGAAAGGAAGAAGACAGAUUGUGUUUGCUUAGAGGUUUUUAUGGUGGUGUAUGUUGAAGAGGACAUGAAGUGGAAACAGUGCGUUUCCCUGCGGUGAGGUAUCAUGUUUGCAGGAAUAUACAGAAUUAAUGAGUUUUUUUCUUUAUCUUUGUAAAUGUGUUUACAGUCAUAAAAUUCAUAUUACUUUGUUAUAGUCAGAUGUAUAAUGUUACUUUUAUGAACUGCUGCUCAGAUAUGGAGAAAA
Molecule: long non-coding RNA, 1802 nt
Organism: Brienomyrus brachyistius
Lineage: Eukaryota; Metazoa; Chordata; Actinopteri; Osteoglossiformes; Mormyridae
Exons: 3
Source: RefSeq, a predicted model, not a curated record